This 2279-nucleotide ribosomal RNA is filed under the name Escherichia coli. RNAcentral's name for it is "partial 23S ribosomal RNA". It matches the Rfam family "Bacterial large subunit ribosomal RNA", at positions 502 to 2766 of the family's 2925-position model. Lineage: Bacteria; Pseudomonadati; Pseudomonadota; Gammaproteobacteria; Enterobacterales; Enterobacteriaceae. The record is from RNAcentral.
CGUGAGGGAAAGGCGAAAAGAACCCCGGCGAGGGGAGUGAAAAAGAACCUGAAACCGUGUACGUACAAGCAGUGGGAGCACGCUUAGGCGUGUGACUGCGUACCUUUUGUAUAAUGGGUCAGCGACUUAUAUUCUGUAGCAAGGUUAACCGAAUAGGGGAGCCGAAGGGAAACCGAGUCUUAACUGGGCGUUAAGUUGCAGGGUAUAGACCCGAAACCCGGUGAUCUAGCCAUGGGCAGGUUGAAGGUUGGGUAACACUAACUGGAGGACCGAACCGACUAAUGUUGAAAAAUUAGCGGAUGACUUGUGGCUGGGGGUGAAAGGCCAAUCAAACCGGGAGAUAGCUGGUUCUCCCCGAAAGCUAUUUAGGUAGCGCCUCGUGAAUUCAUCUCCGGGGGUAGAGCACUGUUUCGGCAAGGGGGUCAUCCCGACUUACCAACCCGAUGCAAACUGCGAAUACCGGAGAAUGUUAUCACGGGAGACACACGGCGGGUGCUAACGUCCGUCGUGAAGAGGGAAACAACCCAGACCGCCAGCUAAGGUCCCAAAGUCAUGGUUAAGUGGGAAACGAUGUGGGAAGGCCCAGACAGCCAGGAUGUUGGCUUAGAAGCAGCCAUCAUUUAAAGAAAGCGUAAUAGCUCACUGGUCGAGUCGGCCUGCGCGGAAGAUGUAACGGGGCUAAACCAUGCACCGAAGCUGCGGCAGCGACGCUGAUGCGUUGUUGGGUAGGGGAGCGUUCUGUAAGCCUGCGAAGGUGUGCUGUGAGGCAUGCUGGAGGUAUCAGAAGUGCGAAUGCUGACAUAAGUAACGAUAAAGCGGGUGAAAAGCCCGCUCGCCGGAAGACCAAGGGUUCCUGUCCAACGUUAAUCGGGGCAGGGUGAGUCGACCCCUAAGGCGAGGCCGAAAGGCGUAGUCGAUGGGAAACAGGUUAAUAUUCCUGUACUUGGUGUUACUGCGAAGGGGGGACGGAGAAGGCUAUGUUGGCCGGGCGACGGUUGUCCCGGUUUAAGCGUGUAGGCUGGUUUUCCAGGCAAAUCCGGAAAAUCAAGGCUGAGGCGUGAUGACGAGGCACUGCGGUGCUGAAGCAACAAAUGCCCUGCUUCCAGGAAAAGCCUCUAAGCAUCAGGUAACAUCAAAUCGUACCCCAAACCGACACAGGUGGUCAGGUAGAGAAUACCAAGGCGCUUGAGAGAACUCGGGUGAAGGAACUAGGCAAAAUGGUGCCGUAACUUCGGGAGAAGGCACGCUGAUAUGUAGGUGAAGUCCCUCGCGGAUGGAGCUGAAAUCAGUCGAAGAUACCAGCUGGCUGCAACUGUUUAUUAAAAACACAGCACUGUGCAAACACGAAAGUGGACGUAUACGGUGUGACGCCUGCCCGGUGCCGGAAGGUUAAUUGAUGGGGUUAGCGCAAGCGAAGCUCUUGAUCGAAGCCCCGGUAAACGGCGGCCGUAACUAUAACGGUCCUAAGGUAGCGAAAUUCCUUGUCGGGUAAGUUCCGACCUGCACGAAUGGCGUAAUGAUGGCCAGGCUGUCUCCACCCGAGACUCAGUGAAAUUGAACUCGCUGUGAAGAUGCAGUGUACCCGCGGCAAGACGGAAAGACCCCGUGAACCUUUACUAUAGCUUGACACUGAACAUUGAGCCUUGAUGUGUAGGAUAGGUGGGAGGCUUUGAAGUGUGGACGCCAGUCUGCAUGGAGCCGACCUUGAAAUACCACCCUUUAAUGUUUGAUGUUCUAACGUUGACCCGUAAUCCGGGUUGCGGACAGUGUCUGGUGGGUAGUUUGACUGGGGCGGUCUCCUCCUAAAGAGUAACGGAGGAGCACGAAGGUUGGCUAAUCCUGGUCGGACAUCAGGAGGUUAGUGCAAUGGCAUAAGCCAGCUUGACUGCGAGCGUGACGGCGCGAGCAGGUGCGAAAGCAGGUCAUAGUGAUCCGGUGGUUCUGAAUGGAAGGGCCAUCGCUCAACGGAUAAAAGGUACUCCGGGGAUAACAGGCUGAUACCGCCCAAGAGUUCAUAUCGACGGCGGUGUUUGGCACCUCGAUGUCGGCUCAUCACAUCCUGGGGCUGAAGUAGGUCCCAAGGGUAUGGCUGUUCGCCAUUUAAAGUGGUACGCGAGCUGGGUUUAGAACGUCGUGAGACAGUUCGGUCCCUAUCUGCCGUGGGCGCUGGAGAACUGAGGGGGGCUGCUCCUAGUACGAGAGGACCGGAGUGGACGCAUCACUGGUGUUCGGGUUGUCAUGCCAAUGGCACUGCCCGGUAGCUAAAUGCGGAAGAGAUA